GAGGAGAACAAAAGGAGGACACUGCAGAAGAAUGACAUUGCAGCAGCAAUCACAAGGACAGACAUAUUUGAUUUUCUGGUUGAUAUUGUUCCUAGGGAGGAUAUGAAAGAUGAGGUACUUGCUGCAACAGUUCCAAGAGGGCCCCUACCUAUUGGAGGUCCAGCUGAAGGUGUUCCUUACUAUAACUAUAUGCCUCCACAGCAUGCUGCACAAGUUGGGUCUCCAGUUAUGUACAUGGGUCAGCAGCCUCGUCCUUACAUGGCUCCUCAAAUGUGGCCACAACAACAGCAACCUCCUGAAGACUCUGAUCAGUAAUGAGUGGACUGCUGGUCAUUAAAGCAUGUGAAGGUAAUUUUUUAAUUAUCAUGCUGUAAAUGAAGAUUAUAUUGAUAUCACAUCGGUGUUCUUUUAAUUCUUUUGAAUGUUUUAGUGGUUUUUGUUUUUUGUUUAUUGCUGACUUUUGUUUUGGUGGCCAUUGUCCAGUUUUUAUCCAGCACCAUUAAGUAAUGAAGACUAAUUUGAUAAGAAUACUAGAAAACAUUUAAAUUAAACAUGUAGAUAAUUUUAUACACUAUACUCUUGACCCCACCUGAGUCGCUGAACCCAUGUUCAUCAUCUUCUUUAAGAACAAGAAGUAUGGUGAUAACCUAGAUCAUCAGAAAGAAAGACAAGAGACCAGAGAAAAACUUUGUCACAAUUUUUAACUGAACACAAAGAGAGAAACAACCCCCUCUUGGAGAGCAGGGAAGCUUUCCUCGACCAACAACUAUGUUUUGUGAUAACAUCCCACUUACAAGUGGUAAGCAUCUUUAGAGAUUUGAUGGCAAAAUACUCUUACAUAUCUGAGCACUUAAGCUGCUAGUUGCACAAAUAGCAUUUAUCCCUCUGUCGCAAUUUUGACCAUCAGAGAAUCCUCCUCCGCAUUUCGCCCAUAUGACCAAAUUUACUUUCCUCUUCCCAUGUUUAAGCCCCAGGAUCCAUUUUAUGUCCUAAGAGCAUCACCAACCCUUGAAGUAAUUUUUGGCGUAGUUUUUACACCAAAUUUGGUGUAAAAAUCAGACCAGUUAUUCUCUCCAAGCCAUGUACACCGAAGUUAGGACUCUUUUUUGUAAUAUAGGUUAUUUUAUUGUUAAAGUUGAAAUUAAUAGAUUUUGUGGAACGUAAAAGGAAAUGAAAUUGGUUUAAGUAAGAAGUAUGAGGGUAGUGUUGGAUUUACAAAAACUCUAAAUUUGGCGUGACACCAAAUCUGGUGCAACGUUUAGAGUUUGGUUAGAGAGGAAUUUACACCAAAUUUGGUGUAAAGUACACUUUUAGAGUUUGGUUGUAGAUGGUCUAAGCACCACUAAACUCUCCAGCCUUUCUCCGUCUGCCACCAACAACUCAAUCGCCAGUAUUUAAGAUCAAACUGUAGUAACAUAUGGGGUAAAUAACUGCAACAUUUUCAUUUUUAAUUUAGGAAAAGGAGAGAGAAGAAAACCAGCUGUUGGCGAUCUAAUAUUUGUGUGUAUAAAUAUUUGAGGAUUGAAUAGUACUUGCAGUUGGUGGAGAGUAGCAAGUAAUUUUGCUCACCUGGGUUAUUGGCUGGGUNUGUAUUGCUUCAAAAGCGCUCAAGUAUUUACAUGAAAGUGAAGGCGUUAAUUAGAAUGAUGUGUGUAUUGUUUUUGGUGUUGAGGAACCACUUUAUCGUAUGAGGUUCUUGACAAGAGUAACAUCUCUACUUCAAAAUGCAACUCACAUGCCUUGUUCUUCAACUUCUAUAAAUGAAGAGGAAGAGGGAGAACAAGAAUUUAAAGGACCAGAAAUUGAACUAAGUGACUUCGAAGCUUUUGAUUUGUUGAACAUCACUGAUUCAUACUUUAUUAUUGAUAAUUUUGUUAUAUUAGACAUGUUAAGAAUCUAUUAAGUACUAUAUAUAUGUUAAAACUAUGAUCUUAUUUUUGAAAAAAAUGCCCGUGAUUAUGGCACUUCACGAGUCACGCUUCAAAAUUAGGUCCUGCACUUUUUAAGAUAUUGCGCCUUAAACAACACAGAGUGUAUCCCAAACUGCAUUUUGAACUUUGUCAAAAGUUGUACACAUCUGUCAUUCGUCCUUAAACCUCUGAGUCAAAACUUUUAAAAGAAAUUAAAGGUUUUUGGGUACUUAGGUAUGAAGUCUGGCAGUCGUGACAAACAGAUGUACAAGGUAUCACAACCAUGUUGUCAUAUCUUAAAUGAAUGAACUUGUUGGAUUUUGUGUUUGAAUGUACUUGGCAUUUUGUGAGAUGAACUAGCUCAUAGGGUAAACAUAUUACUGUGUUUUAGAAUUCUAAGAACUUCUGUGAUAUCUGAAUGAUGGUUUUUACUGUUACUUUCCACCAGCAAAAGAGAGCAGGUCAGUUGCACGUCUAUUGUGUAUGUUUAGCAAAUAAGUUAGACGACUAUAUAGUUUUUGGUGCAGCUGUUUGAAGCUGCAGAUAUUGCCUAUUUCUUCUCCUUAUUCUGAUAUGAUUAUAUCUUGUGCUUUUCUUUUUGGGAAUUUACAGAAGAUCGAUAAAUAAAAUAAAUAAAUAAUGGACCAGCAAGGCCAUGGACAGCCCCCAAAUAUGGGUGUGGUUGGUACUUCAGCUGAGAUGCCAUAUGGUGUGGCUCCUUAUCAGGCUAACCAGAUGAUGGGAACCUCUACUCCUGCACCGGCUGGAUUAAUUCCGUCUACACAGACUCCAGGUCAGCUUGCACAACACCAACUUGCUUAUCAGCAAAUCCACCAGCAGCAGCAACAGCAGUUGCAGCAACAACUCCAGAGCUUUUGGGCAAACCAGUAUCAAGAAAUUGAGCAGGUUACUGAUUUUAAGAAUCACAGUCUGCCAUUAGCUAGGAUUAAGAAAAUUAUGAAAGCCGAUGAGGAUGUUAGGAUGAUAUCAGCUGAAGCUCCAGUCAUAUUUGCCCGAGCCUGCGAGAUGUUCAUCCUUGAGUUGACUAUGCGUGCUUGGAAUCAUACAGAGGAGAACAAAAGGAGGACACUGCAGAAGAAUGACAUUGCAGCAGCAAUCACAAGGACAGACAUAUUUGAUUUUCUGGUUGAUAUUGUUCCUAGGGAGGAUAUGAAAGAUGAGGUACUUGCUGCAACAGUUCCAAGAGGGCCCCUACCUAUUGGAGGUCCAGCUGAAGGUGUUCCUUACUAUAACUAUAUGCCUCCACAGCAUGCUGCACAAGUUGGGUCUCCAGUUAUGUACAUGGGUCAGCAGCCUCGUCCUUACAUGGCUCCUCAAAUGUGGCCACAACAACAGCAACCUCCUGAAGACUCUGAUCAGUAAUGAGUGGACUGCUGGUCAUUAAAGCAUGUGAAGGUAAUUUUUUAAUUAUCAUGCUGUAAAUGAAGAUUAUAUUGAUAUCACAUCGGUGUUCUUUUAAUUCUUUUGAAUGUUUUAGUGGUUUUUGUUUUUUGUUUAUUGCUGACUUUUGUUUUGGUGGCCAUUGUCCAGUUUUUAUCCAGCACCAUUAAGUAAUGAAGACUAAUUUGAUAAGAAUACUAGAAAACAUUUAAAUUAAACAUGUAGAUAAUUUUAUACACUAUACUCUUGACCCCACCUGAGUCGCUGAACCCAUGUUCAUCAUCUUCUUUAAGAACAAGAAGUAUGGUGAUAACCUAGAUCAUCAGAAAGAAAGACAAGAGACCAGAGAAAAACUUUGUCACAAUUUUUAACUGAACACAAAGAGAGAAACAACCCCCUCUUGGAGAGCAGGGAAGCUUUCCUCGACCAACAACUAUGUUUUGUGAUAACAUCCCACUUACAAGUGGUAAGCAUCUUUAGAGAUUUGAUGGCAAAAUACUCUUACAUAUCUGAGCACUUAAGCUGCUAGUUGCACAAAUAGCAUUUAUCCCUCUGUCGCAAUUUUGACCAUCAGAGAAUCCUCCUCCGCAUUUCGCCCAUAUGACCAAAUUUACUUUCCUCUUCCCAUGUUUAAGCCCCAGGAUCCAUUUUAUGUCCUAAGAGCAUCACCAACCCUUGAAGUAAUUUUUGGCGUAGUUUUUACACCAAAUUUGGUGUAAAAAUCAGACCAGUUAUUCUCUCCAAGCCAUGUACACCGAAGUUAGGACUCUUUUUUGUAAUAUAGGUUAUUUUAUUGUUAAAGUUGAAAUUAAUAGAUUUUGUGGAACGUAAAAGGAAAUGAAAUUGGUUUAAGUAAGAAGUAUGAGGGUAGUGUUGGAUUUACAAAAACUCUAAAUUUGGCGUGACACCAAAUCUGGUGCAACGUUUAGAGUUUGGUUAGAGAGGAAUUUACACCAAAUUUGGUGUAAAGUACACUUUUAGAGUUUGGUUGUAGAUGGUCUAAGCACCACUAAACUCUCCAGCCUUUCUCCGUCUGCCACCAACAACUCAAUCGCCAGUAUUUAAGAUCAAACUGUAGUAACAUAUGGGGUAAAUAACUGCAACAUUUUCAUUUUUAAUUUAGGAAAAGGAGAGAGAAGAAAACCAGCUGUUGGCGAUCUAAUAUUUGUGUGUAUAAAUAUUUGAGGAUUGAAUAGUACUUGCAGUUGGUGGAGAGUAGCAAGUAAUUUUGCUCACCUGGGUUAUUGGCUGGGUUGGUUUAUGGGCACAGUUGGUGUUAUGGAUGGUUUAACACUUUAACCUGUUAAGUUAAUAUUUUUUAAUUUUAUACAUGUCAUUAACUUAAUGGCUGCCAUCCAAGUAAGAAGGGGAGAUAAAACCAGCAAAUUGAUUUUGAGGAAAAUUUAACUAUCAGAAUGCUGAAUUCAUAUGAUUUUUUUCACCAAUUUGCAUUUCAAUAUAAAAGGUUAUAACAUCUUUAUUAUGGAAAUGGGAUGUUAAAUUUGUCUAUCAACCUUUUUCUCUCCGUCUCUCUGAUGAAUACGAACUUCAAUUGCGUAUGCCUUAUUUUCUUUAAUGUAAUGUUUUGAGGAUCCUUAUUUCAGAACUUUAGACGUGUAUAUAUGUCUAUUUAAUGGUUAUUUUGGAGUAAACCUCGUUAAAGGUUGUAUAGAGUUUUGCAAAUUCUGUCAUCUCAUUUUAUUUUUACACAUUGACAUUUUAGGUUAUAAUUCUGUUGGUUUUGAAGUAUAGUUUUUUUUGUUUUUUUUUUGUGUUCCUCCAAUAUUUUUCAUACACUUACAAGCCGGAGCAAUGCAGGGACCCUCAAAGCAAAGUUUGACCUGCAGAAGUUGCACAUGGGGAAGCAAACAAGUACUUUCACAAGUUAGGAGAAAGAAAAUCAAGUAUUUCUACUUAAUAGGAGAAACUUAUCACUAUUUUGGCUUGCUCAACUGUUUUUGUCUAUCCUUUGACUAUAUUGAUGCAUUAGGAUGUACUAAAUGUGAAAUAUAUACCAGUUUCUGGUAUUGCGUUUUUAGUUCAAUGACUCGGCCAUGGUAUGAUUUUAAAUGGUAAAAUUUGAUCCUACUUUCCUUUUGUUUUGAUGGAGUUUUUGGAGGAAGAAUUUGCUAUGGGAAAUGCACUGUUAAAUGUUUGAAUCGAAAAAAAUCAUAUUGCUUCAAAAUGUGUUAUGUUCAAUUAAAAUGUUUUUGUGUUUUCAUUGCAUCAAAAAUCGUCAUAGUUGUAGGAUAUUGGCCUUUGCUUAUCUGCUUUGCUAAGUCGAAAGCUAUUCGAUUAUGAGUGACUUAAUAUUUUAAAAUUGAUAGUAUGUAUUUGAAGUUAGACAAAAUCUAAUGUUCUAAUCAAGAGGUAAAACUCGCAAACUUUUGUGAUAUAUAAUCACAAACGUCUUCCUCUAUUGUCAUUUUUCUGUUUCUUUGGAAAGCAUUAGAAAGUGAUUUUCUUAAAAAAAAAAAAACAUCUAAUUGUACCCAUGCUUCAAUCAUGCAUGUGAUGAACUGAGAAUAAGAGCAUAAAAGUCGGAGUUUGAAGUCAUUUUCGAAUUUAACGCUAUUUGUGUAUUAAGUCAAAAGUUACUUGAAUUUAGAAAUAAAUAAAAAAUUGACUUAUGUGGGAUGUAUUUUAAGGACUUUUUUUAUUUUUGUGAUUCUUUUGAUAAAAGGUCAGUUCAAUUACCCAAUCACCAUCUUCCAUAAACUCUUUAUUUUAUCUAUAUUUCAAGAGUCUUUUCAUCUUGUCUUAACUUAUUUUUAUUAAUAAAAGUUACAUUUUCAUCUGCUCGCCCACUAAUUUUUGUUUCAUACAUAAAUACACUAUAAAAAUAAUACUCCUUCUGAUUUUUAAUAUUUGACGCUUUGACUUUGGGCACGAUCGAGUAGUUAAAAUUAUUAUUUUGGGAGUAGUAAGAAUUGUCAGUCGAUUUUAAUAAUAAUCGAAUAUACCUGAAAUCAAGGAGGCGACAGUCGAUCUAAAAGUUUAAGGGGUCGUUUGGUUGAGACUUCCUUGGUAUCAUAUAUGAGUUUUGUUCAUUCAAAACCCAUUCAAAACCCAUACCUGGUGUUUGGUUGAGAAUUUUAUUUCAUCAAACCCAUUCCUCAAACCUAUUAAGUAUGAGAAUUUCAUACCCAAAGGGGAGGUGGGUAUGAAACGUGGGUUUCAGGCAGUGUUCUAAAAAUCGGUCUAGGCGGCCGCCUAGGCGAUGCCUAGGCGCUAGGCGGCCCCGAGACGCCCCGAUUCGGUCCUAGGCGGUGAAUUAGGCGGUUUUUUACAAAAAUCGGUCCUAGGCGGUCAACAUCCCGCCUAGGCGGUCCAAAUCCCGCCUAGGCGGUCCAAAUCCCGCCUAGGCGGUCCAGGCGGCCAAUAACAAAAAAAAAAUAAUAUUUUUAAUAAAUAAAAUCUAAAAUUAUGAUUAUAUUAUAAGAAAUUAAGUAUUCACUUGUACUUAACUUAACAUCUUAUAAAAAAAAAAGUAAAAUGACUAUUAUUUUUAUUUAAUAUUUCUUACAUUAUUUAUAAAAGACUGAUUGGUAUAUAUUUAUUUAAUCAACAAUUUUGUAUUACAUGUAUGAAGUAUUUAUUUUAUAUAUGAUAUUAUAUUAUUUACCAGUUUAACUCUACUAGUAGUGAAAAAAAAAUAAAAUUAUUAAAUUACAUUUAAUUAUAAUAAUUUAAAAAUAAUAUAUGUCCGAUUAAUGCUCCGAUUAAUCUUUCCGAUUAAUCCCCGAUUUACCGAUUAAUCGCUAGAAGGUACCCCGACCGCCCUGGGACGCCUAGCGAUUUCUGAAACACUGGUUUCAGGAAUCAAAAUUGUUUUUUUUUAUUUUCAUUAUUAUUUAUAUUAUUCCUUAUAAUUUUUUAAGACAAAAUGAAAUUAAUGACUUAAAAAUGUAUAUAAAUAUUAAUUUCAUGAUAUUUUAAAUUAAUUACAAUUAAUAACUCAUAAAUAUUAUAAUUCAACCAUAUUCAUUCCACCCCUCAACCAUACACCUGAUAUCAGAAAUGAUACCUCAACCCCAUACCAGCUUAACCUGAUACCUCAUUACAACCCCAUACCCCCCUCCAACCAAACGACCCAUAAUUGUUCUCAUGAGGAAAAAAAUUACAAAAGCGUUCCUGCAUCAACAGUUAAUCGGUGAUAUUAUUUCUGAUUUUUGCUUGGAAAAUCAGCACCACAUCUCUGGAUCUCCACUUGUUAAUUUCAGAACUUAAAACAAUAAUUCAAAGACACCUACAGUCAUCUUCUGAAAAAUGGUCCUACGAGACACUGUCUUCAUAUUGACUAACUUUUGACGGACAACUCAACCGUUGAGAAGGCUGUGAAUGAAGCUGUAACUGUUUACUGUAUCUUUUAUGUUUAGUUAAAGUGUUUGAAUCAAAAUACCUGCAUCGGAUACGAUGUUUUAAUUUUAUUUGAAAUUUUCUUUUGAUGUUAAAUUGCACCAUAGUCCUUUGACCUUUCUAGAUUUAGUGCCGACUAUCUUAAAAAAAAGGGUUUCUUUUUCCAUAGUUACGCGGAGGGUAUAAUCGAGCCGAGCCUAGUCGAACACUGUCAGACUCGGCUCGAGCUUGAUUGAAAAGUUUGGGGCUCGAGCUCGAGUUCAAGUUCGAUCAAGCUUUUAAUUUCAAGUUCGAGCUUGGCUCGUAAACAGUUCGAUAGGCUUGAGUUUGUCAUCAAAUAUUGACAAAAACUCAAAAUAUGAUCGGUUUGGUUCGAGUUCGAUUCGAUUAAAUAUAUAAAUUAUAAAUAAGAUAUUAAAUAUUUUUGUAGAUAUAUUUUUAUAAUAAAAAAAUUAAAAAAUUGUAGAGGCUCGAUAAGGCUCGCAAACUUACGAGCCGAGUAAUUUGAAACUCGAGCUCGGUUCGGUUCGGUAAAAUAUCCAAAUAACUCGAGCUCGAGUUCGGCUCGAUUAUUAUCGAAUUGAAAAAUUCGAAUAUUUUACGAGCCGUGCUCCAGUAACUCACGAACAGUUUGAUUUGUUUAAGAUCCUAGUAAUGCUAUUGUCGAUGAUUGUUACGUUUUGCACAAAAAUAUUUAUAGGGGCCUUUUGAGUGGUUCAAAAUAAGUGUUUAUUGUUUAAACUAAAGAAAUGAAAUAGAAGUUAGAAUUAAGUUCAAACUUAUAAUUGAUUAAAGUAUUUGAGAAAUAAGUAGAUGUCGUGAUUUAAAAGCUAGUAUUCUCCAUUUCAUAUAAGUACUUCUUGAAUUUUUACGCAAACAAUAUGAAUAAGUGCUUGAACUUAUAAAUCUAAAAGUCGGGUUUCUAAACCCGGUCAAACACCCCAUAAUUUUAUUGCCUUCAUCAUUCCAUCAUAAAUCCAUACACAUAUUUAUGUUUUAUUUAUGUUUCGAAAGGAAAGUUCCAUCAUUUUUUUCACUAUUUUCCUGAUAAUCCUCAUUAUUGAACUCGAAAUCCGGUCACGUAUUUAUAUUUUGAAAGGAAGGUUCUAUUAUUUUCUUCGCUAUUUUCCCGAUAAUCCUCUUCAUUAAAAAUUCAAGACUCAUUCAUGCUCGAUCACUAUUAUCUCAUAUAUUCUUCUUUUUCCUUUAAAUUAUUUAUAAUUUUUCAUUCUAUUUUUUUCUAAUUAUAUUAUCAUUUUACAUUCAUCUGUUUAGUUGAAAAAAGGGAGGAAUAGCAGUAACAACCAAUAGCAUGUUACAGAAGUGAAUCUUUGAUCUAUCUUACUUAUUCUUGGAUCAGAUAUGGGAUGUUUGUUUCCAUUCCCAUCUCUUAUAUUUUGAUAAAAUCUAAACAUCAAUCCUCAAAUCUCUGUGGGGACUUUGUGAGACAGAUUGCCAAAUAAACCCUACCACCCCACAUGCACAUCAACUCCCUCAUAAUUGUAUUGCUCAACCCAUCCUUGCAUGCCUCUUUAUAACAUCUUACUCAUUUAUGCCCAAACCAUAUUUCAAUUCUAACCAAAACAGAAAAGAAAACUUAAGAAUCUCAGAGGGAAAAAAAUUACAAAAUAACUAAGGAAGUUAUGGAUCAAGAUGACAUCUUCUUUGCAGACUUAGACAAGCAGAUUUCUCUUCUUAUAAUGGACGAUGAUGAUGAUGAUGAUGAUACUAUUAAAUUUCCGGUCUCAAGUUAUCGACAUCCUUCUGCUAAUUCUCUUCAGGUUCUUCUUCCCUGCAUCUUUUCAUUGAAUGAAAAAACAGCUUAAUCUAGUAAACAUAUAGUACUCUUUUGUGUUGUCCUGAUCCUUUUUCUUGUAUUUUUUCUCUAGCCUUUUUCUCGAGUGAUUCAUCCAAGGCCUCCGACACAAUCACAAAUGUUCUACGAGCAGAGCUGCAUAACAGAGCAGAGCAAAGGAACUGGAGUGUUUUUUCCUCGUUCCACUCAACCACGAAGAAAGAACAGGCAAGGAAGGUUUACAACAAGACCGUCAAACACCAAGUUUCAGAAGCAUUCUGAUGAUAACUCAAGAGAUAUACCACAUGGUUUACCUUACAACAACUACAAAUUUUCUUUCAACCAUAAUAGAAAUUGAAUAUAAAUUAUAAACGAGGUGUGCAGCAUACAUUAUAUAUUCUUAAGCAGUGUGUAUCGAGAUAAUUCUCUACAUUGAAGGAUGCAUGAGAUGGUAAUCAUGAUUCAUGCUCCAGAUCAAUGCCAGCUAGUUAGCAAUCUUUUGGUGGGAACUGGGAAGUUUUCGCAAACAGAUUGGAAUUAGUUUCACUCCUUUGAUACAGGAUUGUAUAAUUAGUCAUGUUCUUGAGCUUGUUAAUGAUGUACAAUACAUUGAUUCAUUAUUUAUUUGUUGAGCAAAUUUGCUUGGUGUACAACUGUUUUUUCAAGUUCUUCACAUUGACCAUAUCUUCAUGCAAUUGGAAUAUGUAUAAGCUCAGAUAUUCAGAGAACCAACUUUCAUUAUGGUAACUAAUCAGCUCCUCUUUUCACAAAUAGACUGGAAAUUGAACAAAUUCAUGAUACUUAUCUGUAUUUAACACUCAUACCGGUACGGAUGAAGUGAAUUUUCCACACUAUAACUUGGAAGCUUCAAAAGUUCCUGCACCUUGAUGCUUCAAGACCUCUGAGCCAGGAGGGCUUCACUUCUGAUAUUUUUUUGAAUCUUGAAGGAGCUCUAAUACUUUUACUACGUAGCUUGCAUCAGUUCUUGAUUUGGGAUCUACACGAAGACAUUUAAGUGCAAGGGAGGAAGCUUUUAAUGCUGCUUUGACAGUAUAUUGGCCUUGGAGAUGAACAUCCAUGACAUACAAUAUCCCGUGCUUGCUGGUAAGGUAACACUUAGCCCAUGCCCUUGUUGCAAGAGUCUCACCAGUUAGUCUUCGUCCUGUCAAUAUUUCUAGGAGAACAACUCCAAAGCUGUAGAUAUCACUUUUACUCGUAAGAUGACCUACAUAAGAAGAUAUUGGCAAGGGAUCUAAAGAAUACAUAAUGAGGAUGGAAUAUGCUAUAUGUUGAACCUUUUGACAACUGAUUAUGUGGAAUAAUAACCUGUAGCUGCAUAUUCUGGAGCCACAUAACCGGAUGUUCCCAUAACUCUUGUAGACACGAGGGUUCUUUCAUGUUCCGGCCCUUCUUUUGCCAGCCCGAAAUUGGAGAGCUUGGCAUUGUACUUCUGUCAAUCAGUAGUAGAGUGUUUGCAAUGCAAAACUAAUUUAAUGGGAACACUAUUUGACAGUAAAUUUAAACAAUCAAUAUGUUCCACAUACAGAAUCAAUCAAUAUACUGGAUGUUCUAAAAUCACGAUGAAUCACAUUGACUUCUGGACUGUGAAGAAAUGCAAGCCCCUUUGCUGCACCAAGAGCAAUACUUAUACGAAGAUUCCAGGAGAGCGGUUGAAAGUAAGAACCCACUGUUUCAAUUAAAAAGGAUGCUACAUUAAGAAUCAGUUAAUCAACAGUUCAACACAACCUUAAUUCUAACAUUGGAGAUAUAUGUAAAGAUAAUGGCACUGGAGAAAGAUCAAACUUCAUCAAACGUCAUUGCAACAUCAAACUAUACAUUCUAAUUUAGCACAUUACACAUGCAUAGUGGUGUUCUAGUAGAUUUUUUUUCCAAAAUGGAUUAGAGCUAAUAAGAUUGAGAAACUCACUCCCGAAUAGAUGCUUUUCCAAGCUGCCCUGAGACAUAAACUCAUAUACUAGAAGCCGAUGCUCCUUUUCUAAGCAGUAUCCGAUCAAAUUUAGAAGAUUAGGAUGAGAAAGUCUCCCCAGAAAAUUAAUCUCUGCCUGUAGUAAAAGACGUGCAAAGGGUUGUUCAGCCAGCUUGUGAAAUCAAACAUGAUAAUGUAAAACAUAAGCAUAAAACACCGUAGAUUUUGUAGUUAGUACUUUCAGCCUCUUCUCGUAACCUUGGACUCCUUGAUUUAAUCUCUUUACAGCGAUUACCAGGUUCCGGGAGUUAAAUACGAAGCUUCCCCAUUUUGCAGCAGCAAAUGUGUUCUCAUCAACCCAACCCUUAAAAACACGGCCAAAACUACCCUGCCCUAACAAAUAUUUAUGGUGGAACUUCUUGGUAGCUACACUUAGAUCUUUAAAUGAAAAAAUCCUCAAAUUAAGUGACUGCAGAAUUUCUUCCUGGUUCCAGAUUGUUGGUAUCUCUGAUGGAUACUCUGUCAAUUGUUGGUAUUCUGCCGAAUUUUGAUUACUAUCACUUGACAGCACAUCAUUACUGUCGCUUGACGCCUUCGCAUUUCUAUCAACUGAAAGAAGGAUUCAAACUCUUAAAACCUGAAUCAUAUUGUGAGGCUAUAAACAUAACAUAAAGAGCACAAACUAUUAUCCUAAUAUGUUAAUAACACAGAUGAAAAACAAUACUUUGUCCAUUUUAAUUAUGCUAGAACUACUUCUGUUCAAGGACUGAAAUCGCAAUUACAAAUCUGUAACACAAGCUAAUGACACAAACCUGAAAUAUUGGCAGGCUUCACAUAUUUUUGUUUCUUGGUUCUUCUAGGAAACUUUUCAUCUCGAUGUCCACGACUGGCAACAGCGCCAUGUUUUUUAAUUCCUUGGUUGUAUACAGCAUUAUACAUUUCAUCUAAUGGAUAAUCCACAAUCUCAUGGUUAUGACUGACAGUUGAGCCUUCUGGUAAAGUAGAAGCUGUGUUCUGUUCUUGCAGUGCCAAUGCAGACUCGAGACAAACCACAACCUCACCCAUUGUGGGACGGUCUUUGGGUCCAAUAUGUAAACAUUGGAGUGCAAUUUUUACAAACACCUCUACGGAACCAUGAAAGGCCUCAUCUUUUAUACCGGGAUCAAUAAUCUGGUCCAAGAUUCCCUCCCUGAAGCAGUAUUGUGCCCAUCCAGCCAAACCUAUCUGCUCUUCUUCCAGACUACUUUCCAAUGCUGGUCUUCCACACAAGACCUCAAAUAACACCACACCGAAGGAAUACACGUCAGAUUUCCUCGUCAGUCUACGUGUUAUGAAAUAAUACGGAUCCAAAUAACCAAAGGUACCUUUGACAUGAGUGCUAACGAAAGUACUUCCCUGAUUUGCAGGACUUAAUUUAGACAAUCCAAAAUCUGAAAUUUUCGCUGCAUAAUUUUCAUCCAGUAAAAUGUUAGUGGUCUUUACAUCACGAUGUAUAAUUCUUUGCUGAAUUCCUGUUCCAGUAUGAAGGUAGUCCAGUCCUCGAGCUGCUCCAAUGCAUAUCUUAAGGCGUUGAAUCCAUGAAAGAGGUGGCAGAGAAAUAUCACCUUGUCGAAGCCUCUUAUGAAUAUGAUCAGCUAACGUGCCACCUGGCAUAAAUUCAUAAACAAGAAUCAUCUCAUAACCUUCAUCACAGUAACCAAUCAAAGACACCAGAUGGCUGUGUCGAAGUUUAGAAAGCAUUUCAAUCUCUGUUCGGAACUCUGUUGAUCCUUGACUGGACUUGGAAUGUAACCUUUUUAUGGCAACUACAGUCGGUCCAGGUUCAAGAGUACCUUUGUAAACCUUCCCAAACCCGCCUUUUCCAAUCACCAACUCGUCGUGGAAAUUAGAUGUCGCCUGCUACAUCUGGUCAAGUGAGAACCGUAAACACAGCCCUCGAAUAGACAAUGAUAUCAGUAGGUUGUUUUGCUCCACGAAUUUUGCUUCUUGAAGCUGCCGGACCUUGUAAGCCACACAAUUCAAGAUAGUGAUGAGAAAAAUCACUCCAUUAACAAUGAUGUUUGUAUAUCUGUAGAGAACCAUUCCCUCUAAAACCUUAAGGUGUUAGAGGAGGCCCCUUUAUGGAUCUUAUACUUAUAUUUCAACACUCCCCCUCACUCGAAAUCCCAUUAUUUGGGUUGAAGAGUGGAUCACGGGCGCCCAGCUUUGGGGUAUAAAUUGCCUUCGUGUCCAUUUUGAAUUGUGAGAAUAUUGGGGGGUGGCAGGGGCUCGACCCCGAGUCCUCCCGCAAACCUGUGCUCUGAUCCCAUGUAGAGAACCAUUCCCUCUAAAACCUUAAGGUGUUAGAGGAGGCCCCUUUAUGGAUCUUAUACUUAUAUUUCAACAAGAUAGAAAAGCCCAGUUCUGUGUCAUUGCCGAGCAGUACAGCACGAAUGACUGCAGCAUGAAUAACUCUACCUUCACAUUCUGCAAGCUAUAAAAUUAACACCUCCUAAGAUGAUCAGUAGCGCUUAGUAUCUUGGUCGAUAUAAAAGCUAGAAAAUAAUAAAUUUGCAGACUAAUACUGAAAUUGUUGUCAAACAAGAACUGUGUUUCCAUAAAAGAUAUUAUUAUUUGGCUAGUAAAAUGAAAGCGACAAGGCAAUGGAAAUUCCUUGCUCUAAUAGAAUUCAGAAGAUAUUUGCGAGGGAGAAUGAAUAUCAUUAAGACAAUAAAAAAAUCAACAACAAAAAGAUGCAGCAACAGAUGAUAGAAUGUCCUUCAGCUUAAGAUGAACUUGUGGUUGAAUGACUCUUUACAAAUUACAAUCAGUGGAAGGAGACAAAUAGAAGAUGGCAACAGAUUGUAUGUUUGUUUUUGCAGGGAAAAGUCAGUUGUGACGACCAUAAGCCCACACGGCAGGUUUCUAAAUUCUUAAGAUUAACCGUUUUAAACGCAGGGUGUAAGUUUAAUUUCAAAAUGGGUUAAUUAUCAAGUUGUUCAUUGAAGUGGGUUUAAUGUAUCAAGUUGGUCACUGAACUGAAAACGAUAUCAAGAUGGUCACUAAAGUCACCAUAAAUAUCAAACAAGUACCUUUCAAGUAGUAAAAAUAUUAUUUAUAAAGUUUUACACAUUAUUUUUAAAUGUUAACACAACCAACUAAAAGGUUAUAACUUGUACAGUAGUAUUUAAAAUAAUAUAUUCAUAUUUUAUCAAGUUAUUUUAUUUUGUUUUAAUUAAAAAUAAAUAAUAAAUAAACUUGAUAAAAUCUAAAUAUAUUAUCAUAAAUAUUAGAAGUCAUAACCUUUUACUUGGUUUUGGUAACAUUCAAAAAUAAUGUGUAAAACUUUUUAAAUAAUAUUUUUACUACUUGAACUAAUAUUUAAAGGUACUUGUUUGAUAUUUAUGGCCACUUCAGUGACCAUCUUGAUACCGUUUUGAGUUCAGUGACCAAUUUGAUACAUUAACCCCACUUCAGUGACCAAUUAGAUAAUUAACCCAUUUCAAAAUUAACGUAGGGCAUAUUCAAUCUUGUUUAUACUCCCUUCGUCCCCUCAAUUAUUUACGUUGGAGGACGGGGGCUCGGCACGCAUUCUAAUGUUCUCAUAAAAGGUAGUUUAAUAAAUUAUUUUGAAUUUUUUCUUCUUCUGAAUAAAAAUUUGGUGUUUAUAUUUUUAUACCCACCACUGGACUAUCCAAUCGUGCUCAGUUGAGCCUCUUCUUGGUAAUAAGUUUCAUCACAAAAUAGAGUUGAUUGUACAAGUGAUUUUCAACUUUAAACUAAUAAAUUACUACAGAGGUGUUUGUUCCACAUACCGCUUCAGCCUUCAUAGAUAUAGAACACGAGUACUAAAGCAUUAGAGAGUUCUGGGGAAGGAACACGCUUCAGCCUGUUGAGAAGCAACACGACCCGGCAUUGGAGAGUUCUGGGGAAGGAAAAUACUAAGUACACUGGUGAGAAUCAGCAACUACAUACUUUUCAUCUAGUUAAAUUUCAACAACUGCAGACAGGAAUCUUGUAGUAAUAUUUAAAACAACAUUACAACGUACACGAGGUAAAUGCAUUUUGUUGGAUUGGCUUUGGUAACUGCAUGUAAGUAACUGAAGGGAAGGAACUUAAGCCAAUUUUAUAAAUUCAGCUAUGAUGCCAAUGAGCCCCAAAGCUGAGAGCAACAACCACGGACCAUGGGAGACUAAUGUAUAUUCUACCACGGCUGGUUUAAUACUAAUAGAGCACAAAUUCAAAAUCAUUUUAGGGUCUUGAUUCCGCAAUCAGAUAUAAAAGAAAGGAAUCUUCUAAAUUACAACUUUACAAGUUUUACCCACAAAUAGUAGCAAUACGCUCCAAGCUUUCGACAAUUUCUGACAUUGAAGGCCGCAUGCUAGGACUACUAUCUAAACAUUCAGUAAUGACUGAAGCUAUGAAAGGAAACAGUUGACUACGGGCACCUCCUGGGUAACUAUCUUCCAACCAUGGAUCCAAAUAAGUAUCAAGAGAAGUUGCAUAAAAUACGAAGCGCUUCUGUUUGUCAUCAUGAUAUGUUAUGGAGUCUGUAAAGUGCAGCAUUUCAUUCGCCCGUAUACCUGUCAUCAGUUCCAGCAAAACCACGCCAAAAGCAUAAACAUCCGUCUCUAAACUGACAACACCUGCAAAUUGGUUGAUGUCUUAUUGUCGUCAGUCUAUCUGUACCAGUAUAUUCUUAUCAUUAGGCAAUGCUCUCUAACGCUCCUUCUGGCCCAAACGAUACUAACUCUUAACUCGUGUACACAGACACGAGUUAAAUGCUUCCUUCCUCUGUGUUAUUAUCCCAAGUUAUCUUCAGCUUAUACUAAGUUGUAAUUAAAAAUUAACAUAGUUAUAUGAUAUACAUGCGAAAGCAAUCAAGACUAUAACAAAACAAUUGUGACCAACAAUUCAUCAAACUAUAUGGCACUCUAUUCUAAUGUGAAUUAUCAUAUAUAUAAUAAAAUCCAUUCAAUCUUUAACUUGACAACACUUCAAGAUAAAUAUUAAGAGUUUCAGUCAAGAUUGAUAAAAAAGGAAUCAAACAAUGCCUUGCUGUGGUAAAGCAUAAAAUUAAAAAAGUAAACCCGCCACUACUGCAUAAAGGGAACUUAAUUACCAGAGAUCACAUAUUCGGGAGCUGCAUAACAAAGUGUUGCCGCACUAUGUGUAGUCACAUCUGUGUCUCUAUUGGAUUCUGUUAACCUUGCCAAUCCAUGGGGUGAAAGUUUUGCAUCAAAUUUCUGUAAAGUUAAAUUUUGGAAAUAUAGAAUAAGAAAACUGUUAGUGAACUAUACUUGGCUCUAUUAAAUUUCAUUCUAGAUAGAGUGGCUUUAAGAUGUAUAAUGAGAAAUUGAUGACGAUGUAAAGUACCUCAUCAAGUAAGAUAUGAGAUGUCUUCAAAUCCCGACAGAUGAAUAUUUGUUCUGCUGUGUGGAGAAAUUCAAGGCAUCGAGCUACUCCGAUCAAUAUUUUUAGCCGAACUUCCCAGCGGAGUGGUUCUAUUGCAUUUUUCUUUGCUUGGCUUGGAGGUUCUGCACUCUCAGAGCAAUACCAUUACUAUGACAAUAUUCGGAUGUAUAGUCCAAAGAUUACAAACAUAUAUAUGAUAACCCUUUAAACACUUAAUCUUGCAUUAUGAGACACAAUAUAACACAAUUUAAGGAUACUUGGAUCUUAAGCAAGUAGGAGAUGCAUCAUAAUCCUUUGAAACUAAACAUUUAAGAAAGAACAAUAACUCUGGUCGGUAACUUAAAAUAUUUUUUCUUUCCGAAGAGGGAAAGNNNNNNNNNNNNNNNNNNNNNNNNNNNNNNNNNNNNNNNNNNNNNNNNNNNNNNNNNNNNNNNNNNNNNNNNNNNNNNNNNNNNNNNNNNNNNNNNNNNNNNNNNNNNNNNNNNNNNNNNNNNNNNNNNNNNNNNNNNNNNNNNNNNNNNNNNNNNNNNNNNNNNNNNNNNNNNNNNNNNNNNNNNNNNNNNNNNNNNNNNNNNNNNNNNNNNNNNNNNNNNNNNNNNNNNNNNNNNNNNNNNNNNNNNNNUUUCCGAAGAGGGAAAGAGGAUACUGGUUUACAUCUAAUGCUUAGAUGAAGGUAAGAUGACCAAAUUUUGGUAAGUAUUUCUAAAGAUGGAGAUGCAAUUGGUUAAAGCUAAUUAGUAUCUCAAGUUCAGAAAGUAUGUCUCACUUACUGAAAAUGUGGGUAUCCAAGUCUCUAUUCUGCAUAUACUCAUAAACAACGAGACGUUCCUCGCCUUCUGAGCAAUAUCCUAAAAGCUUAACCAAAUUGGGAUGGCUACACUCUCUCGAGAGGUCUACCUCCAUCUGCACCAAAAGAUAAAUACAUUAUUGUUGACAAAAGUACAUUAAGUUGUCCAAGAGACACUAUCUAUAGCAGUGACACAUAUCCAUGAUGAAUGUGUAUAGUAAAAUAGUUAAGAAUUAUUAUUGUUGGAUUUCAUCUGCUAUAUAAUUAUCAAUCUCGGGGUAUGCCAUUUGUAGUCCGUAUCACUUUUCUUCAUCGACACUGGAAAACGGAGUGUUAGAAUUUUAUGAUCAUGGCACAGACAACUGAAAUAGUAAGACUUUCCUUUGAACAUAGAAAGUCCAUCAAUACAACUUCUGUAGAAAUAACCUAUAUGCCCUUUAUUUGAAAAAUAAAUAUUCCACAACUUGGUCAAUUUAUAGCAGCUAAAAGAUAUUAUGGAAUCCUAAUAAUUUCAACUGAGCAUAAGUCAAAUAGCAGAUAGUGAUGGUCAACAUUUAAGGAAUUAAGGGUAUAUGGAAGUCAAAUUACCUGCCAUUCUAUAUGCCCUUGCUGAUCCGGAAUAAAUCUUCUAACGGCAAUGGGUAAUCCAGUAUAAGGAGUAGUGGGGGCAUAAGUAUUCUCGUCGACCCAGCCUAUAAAAACCCUUCCAGACGGUCCCCUGCCUAACACCUCUUCAAAGUUAUUUGUCGCUCUUUCAAGAUCAGUUAAAUUAAACUCUUUCAAAUUUCGAGUUAUGUUUUCUGAAGUCUUUGCAUCUGUAUUGACUGAAAGAAAGAAGAGAGAUCUAAAAAUAUAAGUGCUUAUAAGAUACCAGAAACAUAAUUAAACGACUACUAGAAAGAGAAAGUCAUAUUUUCAAAAAGUUUUCAUUAACUGAAUAAAAGUUUCUAGAACAAUUACCAUAUAACUGUGAUUCAUUAAAAUUAGGUAGUCCUCCUAACACAUAAGGUCAGUCAGUCACUUAAUCAGUUACUUGGCUGUCUGAACCUUGACCCAUUGGUACUCUAACAAAUCUCCAAAUUAACACAGGCAACCAUCAUCACUUGGCACUCCACUAAAGAGUUUUGUUCAAAGCGAUAUUCAAUUAUUCAAGUCCUAAGUCUGUGCUCAAGUGACGGGACGUAUUAAGACAUAUAUUCUAUUUGUAACAAUUUGAAAUAAUAACAUAUCAUUUUUAAGAUAUAACCAAUCAAUAUAGUCAAUCCCAUCGGAGCACAAUGUCUUACAGGUUCGACAAAUUUUACAUGAUUAGUAUUUUGUAUAAUUUCGCCAACCAUUUUUAUCUAGCACCAUUGGAGAUGCUCUAAAGAAUUAUGGAAGUUCAAACAAUUUAAAUCCACAAUUAGGAUCUAGGAGAAUCAACAAGUUUAUAGCUAUAUUUUUUUUUUGAAUAAAGUUUAUAGCUAUAUUUAAAAUUUAUCUGCAAUUAACUAAGCAUUAUAACACCAUCUUGUACUAUAACAUGAAGAAUCUGUUAGAAUCUUUGAUUUAAAAUAGUACACGAUGAUUAAUUAGCUUGAUUGUGUUUUAAUAUUACUUGUAAGAAAAUUUGUCUGCACAUCUCUGUGAAGAUUUAAAGUCAUUUCCUAAAUCUUUAGUCUCGAGUUUACAAUUCCAAGUACCCAAAUAUUGCUGAUUUGCUGUAUGAACUUAUACUUAAGUUUACCUGAUAAUGCCCGAGCUGCAAGUGCAAGAAAAACACCAAAUCUUUUUGUAAAAGUCGUUCUGGUAGAAGACUGCGUUUCCUGAUGGCUACUUUCAGAAACUACCACCAUCUCCUUUUCGGAAUCAGCACUUUCCAUCUCAAGUGCUGAAAAAUCUGUGUCAUCUUGGUUGUUAUCACUAGUGAAUAUUUCAGGCAAACUACAAUCAGUGUUCUUUUCUUGCAAAGCCAAGGCGGACUCGAGACCUACGACAACCUCAGCCAUAUUGGGACGGUAUUUUUGUCCAAUAUGCAAACACUGGUUUGCUAUUCUCACAAAUGCUUCAAGGCAAUCAGGAAGAACCUCCGAUUUUAUUGUAGGAUCAAUAAUAUUCCCCAAGAGUCCCUCUCUAUAGCAAUGUUGUGCCCAUCCAGCUAAACCCAUUUGCUCUGCUUCCACAGUUUUGUCCACUGCCGGUCUUCCACACAAGACCUCAAAUAACACCACACCAAAGGAAUACACAUCGGAUUUCCUUGUGAGUCGAUGAGUUUGGAAAUAAUAUGGAUCCAAAUAACCAAAGGUUCAUUUAACAAGAGUGCUUACAAAUGUAUCUGCCUGAUUUGCUGGACUUAUUUUAGAUAAUCCGAAGUCCGAAAUCUUAGCUGCCAAAUUCUCAUCCAAUAGAAUGUUUGUUGUCUUUACAUCACGGUGUAUUAUUCUGUGUUGAAGGCCUGUGCCUGUGUGAAGGUAAUCAAGUCCACGCGCCGCUCCAAUGCAUACCUUGAGGCGUUGAACCCAUGACAAAGUUGGUACAGACUUAUCACCUUCUCGUACCCUUUUAUACAGAUGAUCAGCCAGUGUGCCACCUGGCAUAAAUUCAUAAACCAAAAUCAUCUCAUAACCAUCAUCACAAUAACCAAUCAAAGUCACAAGAUGGCUGUGCCGAAGUUUUGAGAGCAUCUCGAUCUCCGUCCUGAAUUCUAAUGGUCCUUGAGUGGACAAGGAGUGUAACCUUUUUAUAGCAACUACAGUUGGUCCAACUUCAAAAGUACCUUUGUAAACGUUCCCAAAUCCACCUUUUCCGAUCACCAGUUCGUCAUGGAAGUUAGAUGUUGCCCGCUGCAUCUGAUCAAGAGAGAAACGAUAACACAAUUCUCUUGUAGACAAUGACAAGAGUUCGUUUUUUUGCUUUGUGACUUCUGCUUCUUGGAGCUGUCGAAAUUUGUGAACCACAACAUUUAAAAUAAUGACCAGAAUGAUCACACCAUUUACAACAGUGUUUGUAUAUCCAAACAGAAAUUCCCAGUUUUGUGUCAUUACGGCACAUGUGCAGCAAGAAGAACAGGGAGACACUAGCUGGACAUAAUUAGUGUUUUGUAAUAACAACACAGCUCUAAACUCACUUCACAAUGAAAAAAUGAAGAAGGUACAUGAACCAUUUCAUUGAAGCUAAUAAUAGGUCCCAACUAUUUACAACAUCACCUAUGGUUGACUCACUCAUCAAGUCAAUACAGAAGAAAAAGAUUCGGACCCAGCAGCACAAGUAGGGUGAGCAUGAUGGCUACUUAACUUAAUAAUACAAUUGCUAACCUCUAAAAUAUGAUACUAGUCAAAUGUGACGAUAUCAAACCCAUGACCCAUCGCAGAACAUCUAUUUUUCUGCAAUAAUUAUUCAAUAAUAAAAAACAAACAACUCAUAUGCCAGGGACGUUUAACUCAUGGGUCCAGGUCCCUGGCAGCUGGCCUAUCAUUUUCAUGCCGUUGGAUGAAUAUCCAACGGUUAAAAAGCGUUGGACGAGGCCUUUUCCAGUGCUUAAAAAAGCGCUGGCUGCCGGAUAUUCAUCCAAUGGCCAGAAAAUGAUAGGCCGGUUAAAUGGUCCCUAACAUACGACUGCCAGGACCAGACCCAUAAUUCAUAGGAUUUUUAUAAUAUGCAACAAGUUCAGAGAAAAUGCAUAUGAAGCUUUCAAGUAAAUUACUUUUUUUUCUUAUUUUAAAGGUAGUUUGAUGUAACCAGUGACUUGAUAUAAAGAUGAUAAGCAAACUUUUUUUAUUUUGUCAUAAGAUGAUAAGCAAACUUAACUGGACAGAAAUUAAAAUAAACUGAAGGAAUAAUGCUGGUACUGUAAAUAACUGAAAUUAAACUGGAAAGGACAUACAAGACAGUAAAGGAGAAAUGCAGGUAAAAUUACACCACUCAAGCCUGUCCUCCCCUACUCUGAGCAAGUGUCUCUGUCAUUGGUUGUUUGCUCAAACUGUUACAGGCUCAUGAUUUAAGGUUGCUACAGGAUAAUACGACAUCGUUUUGUGACUCAACUACUGAUAAGAGCGAGUCCAAAAGCUUCCCUAAACAAGCUCCUAAGCUCAAACAUAGGGAAUGUGAUCUAAAAUGCGGUUCCAAUAGUGUCCCCUAAAUUACCGCGACAUUCUCAAAUUUACUAGUGAUGCCCUAAAACCCACUAGUCAUCCCUUAUUUCUUUUUCUUUUUUGGAAUAUAAAGUUCAUUUCCUUCCCUAUCUACACUCUGUCAUCGCUACUCUACUAAGAGGCAAGUGAACACGUGUAGCCCUAAAUUUUUUGACAUUGUUUAAUCAUUCUAAAUUUAAAAAAUUAUAAAAAUGUCACCAUAAAAUUUAAAUUUUUUUAAGAGUUUUCCAAAAAUUUGCUUAACGACCCUUCAGGAUUUGAAUCUUCAAUCCAUCCUGACGAGGUAAAAGACAAUUAUACACUCUAUUCUAGUUAAAUGUGUUCCGAGUUUAAUAAAUAAAGAAAAGAAUGAAAACCUGCCUAUUUUCUUUGCUCUUCGAAAUCUUUCCAAAAGUGGUUAGUUGUCCCCCGCUGCAUCUGAUCAAGUCAAGUGAAAAACGAUAACACAAUUCUCUUGUAAACAAUGACAAGAGUUGUUCUUUUUUUUUGCUUGGUGAGUUCUGCUUCUUGGAGCUGUCGAAACUUAUGAACCGCGACAUUUAAGAUAAUGACCAGAAUGAUCACACCAUUUACAACAUUAUUUGUACAUCCAAACAGAAAUUCCCAGUUUUGUGUCAUUGUGGUACAAGUACAACCAGAAGAAGAACAGUGAGAUAAGAAAGCUCUGAGCUCACUUCCCAGUUCAAUAUAAAUAAAGAAAGUCUCUACAAUAGGCCCAACUCUCUACAAUUACACCGGUAGUUGACUCACUCAAGUCCAUACAACACAAAACAAUUUGGGCCCAUAAACAGAAACAGGGGCCUGACCCAUAAACAAAAGCACAUAAAAAUUUGAAAAUUUAUACUGAAUAUUCCAGUUUCUCGUCUGGAAUCUGGAUUGGCAAAAUAAUCUGAUAAUCGAUCCAAAUCUGAAAUUUUAGAAAUAUUGAACCAAUUCAAAUGAACGGGGGGAUAUUAAAUAUACAGAUCCAAAAUUCAAUCCGAAACCUGACACAUCUUUGUGGAGGUUCGCGGCGUUUGAAUUGUGCAUUUAUUUACCUAAAUCACAAUGCUUUGUCUACCGGGGACCGAGGCCCUACUAAAAAAAAUUAAAUCUAAAAACACUAGUGCUUAUAAGAUAUCAUAAACAUAAUUAAAUGAGUACUAGAAUCCGAAAGAAGUGAUAAUUUAAAAAGUUUUUAUUAAGUGAAAAUAAGUGUUCAAGCAAGUGAGAAAAUGAUUUGAUGCUAUGAAUUUUUUGAGCAAUUUAUUCUGUUUCUAUAUCUAUUAAAUAAAUAAAAUAUUAAAUUUAUUUUUAUUAAUAACUCAUAAGAUAAACGGGUUUUUAAACAAAAUUAACAUGGAGAAAUAUAUUAUACAGCGGAGUUGUAGUUUAUUGGCACCAUAAAUAUUCUAUAAAAAUGACAGAACUCAACUAUAUCGAUUACAUUUAAUCAUUGUUUUUAUUGUAACUUCUUGCAGUUGACUUGCUCAAGUCGUUCUUGUUGGGUGUGUAUCCUUCAAGUUUAUCAAAGAAAGAAGCUGCUCUAAUUCUUCUGCUACUUGCUUUGCAUCAGGUCUUGAUUUGGAAUCUUGUGAGAUGCAUCUAAGUGCGAGGGAAGAAGCUGUUGAUGCAUCUUCUACAGUGUAUUGGCCUUCUAUACGUGCAUCCAUUAUAUCCGAUAUUAUCACAUGCUCUUCGCUUAGCCGAGACACAGCCCAGGAGGCAAGAUUCCUCUCCUCGACUGCUUUUGAAAGUUCAAUUGUUCUUCGUCCUGUCAAAAGUUCCAGGAGGACAACUCCAAAGCUGUAGAUAUCGCUUUUCUUUGUUAAUUCACCUUCAUAAGAAUAGAUUAUCAUGGGAUCAGAAAAGCUACAAAAUGAAGAUUGAAGAUGGGGACAAAGUAAAGCACAUAGAUAAAACAGAAGCAAGGAGUAUGUGCCCUACUUGAUUACUGAUAUUUGCAAUCUACUUGCCACACAUAAAGUGUGAUCAACUUCCAGAAAAAACAUACUCCCUCCGUCCCACCAGGUUCUUUACAGUUUCCUUUUUUUUGACGUCUCACUCAAUUUUUUACAUUACAAAACUUUCCCAAAAUAGUUAAUGGAUCUCACCACUUUAUCACUUUUUCUCCCCUUUCACACACUUUUACUCCACUAUCUCUCUUUUAUAUAUUAAAAAUAAAUGGGUCCCACCACUUCACUCACUUUUCUUCCUCUUUUCCACUACUUUAUACAUAUUUCUUAACCGUGCCCAAACCCAAUGUAAACAACUGGGUGGGACGGAGGGAGUAAUAAUAUUUUUUCUGAAUCUUUUGGACGUAAGAUGAUACAGAAUAUGCUAAACCCUUUAGACUUGAGAUUAUGUGAAAUAUUAACCUGAAUGAAAAUAUUCGGGAUCUAGAUAACCCAAUGUUCCGCGAACAAGUGUAGUAACAUGGGAUCUUUCAUCUUCUGGUCCAUUCCUAGCGCAACAGAAACCAGAGAGCUUUGCAUUGUAUUCCUGUCAGUAAUAGAAAUUUUGUCAGGCAAAACUAUAUUUUUAGUGGGAACAAUGGUUGGAAGUAAAUUUUAACCAUCAUUGCUUCUACAUACUGAGUCAAUCAAUAUGCUGGAUCUUUUGACAUCACGAUGUAUAACAUUUACUCCUGGACUGUGAAGAUAUGCAAGCCCCUUGGCAGCUCCAUGAGCAAUACUUAUACGCAGUUUCCAAGAGAGCGGUUGAGAGUCAGAAUCCCCUGUUUCAACUGAAUUAAAUAACUGCAUCAAGAAUCAGUUUAUCUCACAGGCAUAGAUUACAAAUACAUGUUUUGUCCCUUUUUAAAAGUUGAACAAUUUUGUAGGUACCUUCUUAGGCCAAGUCUAAUUGGCGUGUUAUAUCUUAUUUCAUGUCUAUAUUAUAAAAUGAAAACUAAAGUUUAUCAUACAAUGGUGUUUCAUAUUUCAUGCUAAGACAGAGAAUAGUGUACUUUGUGCUAAGUAUAAAACAAAAGAUAGAUGUAAAUAUGAUUGAUCUAAUACCGGGUCCAGGUCCCCAGCAUAUGAUUGCUGAGGAGCUGUUAUUUAACACACGAUUUUCCCACCGUUGGAUCAGUUUAUGAACGGCCAAAAUUUAAAAAUUUUCUCAUACAACGCUGGAGAGCUAGAUUUUGUUUUGAGCAUACAACGCUUAAAAAACCAUCUCAUCAAAAGUUGAAAAGUUAGGUUGGAAAAAAAUAGUGUACUCCAUAUAGGUGGAGUUUUUGGAGAGCUGGUGAAAUUUCGGAACAAGACUUGUACCAAUGAUCAGAG
RNAcentral lists this long non-coding RNA (24972 nucleotides) under Daucus carota (carrot). RNAcentral describes it as "long non-coding RNA (DCAR_LNC006453)". Lineage: Eukaryota; Viridiplantae; Streptophyta; Magnoliopsida; Apiales; Apiaceae. The record is from RNAcentral.